This 506-nucleotide ribosomal RNA is filed under the name uncultured bacterium. Its description in RNAcentral is "bacterial SSU rRNA". It matches the Rfam family "Bacterial small subunit ribosomal RNA", at positions 28 to 508 of the family's 1533-position model. The record is from RNAcentral.
GACGAACGCUGGCGGCGUGCCUAAUACAUGCAAGUCGAGCGAGCGGAACCAACAGAUUUACUUCGGUAAUGACGUUGGGAAAGCGAGCGGCGGAUGGGUGAGUAACACGUGGGGAACCUGCCCCUAAGUCUGGGAUACCAUUUGGAAACAGGUGCUAAUACCGGAUAAUAAAGCAGAUCGCAUGAUCAGCUUUUGAAAGGCGGCGUAAGCUGUCGCUAAGGGAUGGCCCCGCGGUGCAUUAGCUAGUUGGUAAGGUAACGGCUUACCAAGGCGACGAUGCAUAGCCGAGUUGAGAGACUGAUCGGCCACAUUGGGACUGAGACACGGCCCAAACUCCUACGGGAGGCAGCAGUAUGGAAUCUUCCACAAUGGACGCGAGUCUGAUGGAGCAACGCCGCGUGAGUGAAGAAGGUUUCGGAUCGUAAAGCUCUGUUGUUGGUGAAGAAGGAUAGAGGUAGUAACUGGCUUUAUUGAUGGAAUCAACCAGAAGUGCGGUAACUACGUGC